AUUGAACGCUGGCGGCAUGCCCUACACAUGCAAGUCGAACGGCAGCACGGGUGCUUGCACCUGGUGGCGAGUGGCGAACGGGUGAGUAAUACAUCGGAACAUGUCCUGUAGUGGGGGAUAGCCCGGCGAAAGCCGGAUUAAUACCGCAUACGAUCCACGGAUGAAAGCGGGGGACCUUCGGGCCUCGCGCUAUAGGGUUGGCCGAUGGCUGAUUAGCUAGUUGGUGGGGUAAAGGCCUACCAAGGCGACGAUCAGUAGCUGGUCUGAGAGGACGACCAGCCACACUGGGACUGAGACACGGCCCAGACUCCUACGGGAGGCAGCAGUGGGGAAUUUUGGACAAUGGGCGAAAGCCUGAUCCAGCAAUGCCGCGUGUGUGAGGAAGGCCUUCGGGUUGUAAAGCACUUUUGUCCGGAAAGAAAUCCUUGGCUCUAAUACAGUCGGGGGAUGACGGUACCGGAAGAAUAAGCACCGGCUAACUACGUG
Molecule: ribosomal RNA, 486 nt
Filed under: uncultured bacterium
Lineage: Bacteria
Description: partial 16S ribosomal RNA
Rfam family: Bacterial small subunit ribosomal RNA
Source: RNAcentral